RNAcentral lists this ribosomal RNA (411 nucleotides) under Microbacterium arborescens. RNAcentral describes it as "bacterial SSU rRNA". It matches the Rfam family "Bacterial small subunit ribosomal RNA", at positions 136 to 561 of the family's 1533-position model. The record is from RNAcentral. Lineage: Bacteria; Bacillati; Actinomycetota; Actinomycetes; Micrococcales; Microbacteriaceae.
CUCUGGGAUAAGCGCUGGAAACGGCGUCUAAUACCGGAUACGAGCUGCGACCGCAUGGUCAGUAGCUGGAAAGAAUUUCGGUCAGGGAUGAGCUCGCGGCCUAUCAGCUUGUUGGUGAGGUAAUGGCUCACCAAGGCGUCGACGGGUAGCCGGCCUGAGAGGGUGACCGGCCACACUGGGACUGAGACACGGCCCAGACUCCUACGGGAGGCAGCAGUGGGGAAUAUUGCACAAUGGGCGCAAGCCUGAUGCAGCAACGCCGCGUGAGGGAUGACGGCCUUCGGGUUGUAAACCUCUUUUAGCAGGGAAGAAGCGAAAGUGACGGUACCUGCAGAAAAAGCGCCGGCUAACUACGUGCCAGCAGCCGCGGUAAUACGUAGGGCGCAAGCGUUAUCCGGAAUUAUUGGGCGU